AACGAACGUUGGCGGCGUGGAUUAGGCAUGCAAGUCGAACGAGAAAGCCACCUUCGGGUGGUUAGUAAAGUGGCGAACGGGUGAGUAACGCGUGGGAAAUCUGCCCUACAGUUGGGGAUAACACUCCUAACGGAGUGCUAAUACCGAAUGAGACCACGAGAUCGCAUGGUCUUGAGGUUGAAGGUGGCCUCUCCUUGGAAGCUACCGCUGCAGGAGGAUCCCGCGUCCCAUUAGCUUGUUGGCAGGGUAACGGCCUACCAAGGCUUCGAUGGGUAGCUGGUCUGAGAGGAUGGUCAGCCACACUGGGACUGAGAUACGGCCCAGACUCCUACGGGAGGCAGCAGUCGAGAG
RNAcentral lists this ribosomal RNA (351 nucleotides) under uncultured bacterium. RNAcentral describes it as "bacterial SSU rRNA". It matches the Rfam family "Bacterial small subunit ribosomal RNA", at positions 29 to 361 of the family's 1533-position model. The record is from RNAcentral.